This 253-nucleotide ribosomal RNA is filed under the name uncultured bacterium. Its description in RNAcentral is "partial 16S ribosomal RNA". It matches the Rfam family "Bacterial small subunit ribosomal RNA", at positions 524 to 776 of the family's 1533-position model. The record is from RNAcentral.
UACAGAGACUGCAAGCGUUAUUCGGAUUCACUGGGCGUAAAGGGUGCGCAGGCGGCCAAGUGUGUUAGGCGUGAAAGCCCGGGGCUUAACCCCGGAAUUGCACCUAAAACUACAUGGCUAGAGCAUUGGAGAGGGUAGCGGAAUUCACGGUGUAGCAGUGAAAUGCGUAGAUAUCAUGAGGAAUACCAGAGGCGAAGGCGGCUACCUGGACAAUUGCUGACGCUCAGGCACGAAAGCGUGAGGAGCAAAAGGG